Molecule: ribosomal RNA, 620 nt
Filed under: uncultured Acidobacteriaceae bacterium
Lineage: Bacteria; Pseudomonadati; Acidobacteriota; Terriglobia; Terriglobales; Acidobacteriaceae
Description: bacterial SSU rRNA
Rfam family: Bacterial small subunit ribosomal RNA
Source: RNAcentral
GGAAGAAUAAGUGGGGGCUAUUACCCCCCAUGAUGACGGUACCAUUUGUAAGCUCCGGCUAACUCCGUGCCAGCAGCCGCGGUAAUACGGGGGGAGCAAGCGUUGUUCGGAUUUACUGGGCGUAAAGGGCGNGUAGGCGGUCACGACAAGUCAGUUGUGAAAUCUCCGGGCUUAACUCGGAACGGUCAACUGAUACUGUCGGACUAGAGUGCAGAAGGGGCAACUGGAAUUCUCGGUGUAGCGGUGAAAUGCGUAGAUAUCGAGAGGAACACCUGCGGCGAAGGCGGGUUGCUGGGCUGACACUGACGCUGAGGCGCGAAAGCUAGGGGAGCGAACGGGAUUAGAUACCCCGGUAGUCCUAGCCUUAAACGAUGAAUGCUUGGUGUCUCGGGUUACAUAGUCCCGAGGUGCCGUCGCUAACGCAUUAAGCAUUCCGCCUGGGGAGUACGGUCGCAAGACUGAAACUCAAAGGAAUUGACGGGGACCCGCACAAGCGCGUGGAGCAUGUGGUUUAAUUCGACGCAACGCGAAGAACCUUACCUGGGCUAGAAUGCCUCUGACAACCCGAGAGAUCGGGCCUUCCGGGUAAAACCGGACAGAGUGCAAGGUGCUGCAUGGCU